This is a long non-coding RNA of Coturnix japonica (Japanese quail), 413 nucleotides long. Lineage: Eukaryota; Metazoa; Chordata; Aves; Galliformes; Phasianidae. The record is from Ensembl.
UUUUGUUUGUUUUUUUUUUCCUUUUUUCCCUCAGCUGUAGGUCACUGUUGCUUCUCAGAGUGGAUGAGACAGUUCCUUUGCUUGUAGACGUUUAUUCGGGAUUUUUCAGGAGCAAGUGGCUAAGAAUGGCAUGCUGAGAGUUUGGAAACAAUCUGCAUCAGCAACAAAGGGAGAUGCCUGCUGCUUUGCAAGCAACACAGAAAAUAUGCCAGCCAUGCAGAGCUCUCUAUCGCGAUGUGUGCUGCUGAUACUGCAGCUCAGCAGCAUGAUUGAGAAUGUGGUCCCCAUUAUGAAGACUGAAGGCUGUGGAGUACAGAGUCUGGGACUGUUCUGACAGCCUACUGGACUUUCCUUGACUUGGGUUAUAAUCCUCAUGCAAUAAAUUGGCCUGUUGGCUUUAGCUGGUUCCUCUU